CUUCAUUUUUUAUCCGCCUAUCAUCUAUCAAUGCUAGUCAACGAAUCUCUCCCAGUGUAUUUCCAGACCCUCCUAUUAUGCGAUUGCAGAGUAUGAAUCCUUUAGUUUAUUGCGUCACUCUCCUAUUUCCUUGAUGCAGGCUAUGAAUCAUCCAGUUGAUCAUUUGUUUUUUACACUACAUUUACAAAAUUCCAAGUUCUUUCAGAUGAAGUCUGUUUGUAAUUAUUAAAACCACAAAUAUAAAAGUUAUUCAGAGUGUUCAAUUUAUAUUUUUUUCUUUCAUCUAAAUAAUUUGUAAUGGAAUUAACAAUUGACAAUUUCUGCUCCUCGGGUAAUGAUAUUUUACCAUUUUACCAUUUUAAAAUGUCCUUUAAAUUCGGAUAUCAAUAAUUUUAAAUAUUUCAAGAACAUUAUUGUUGUCCAGCUGUAGCUAUAGCUAAUGUCAUGGUCUUUUCUCUUAUUGUUCCCAAAUAAACGGUCAAGUUGUUGUAUUCUAAACUGCCACCGCCACUGCCACUGUCACUGCCACCUG
RNAcentral lists this long non-coding RNA (532 nucleotides) under Mytilus galloprovincialis (Mediterranean mussel). The record is from RNAcentral. Lineage: Eukaryota; Metazoa; Mollusca; Bivalvia; Mytilida; Mytilidae.